Molecule: ribosomal RNA, 400 nt
Filed under: phytoplankton environmental sample
Lineage: Eukaryota
Description: partial small subunit ribosomal RNA
Rfam family: Eukaryotic small subunit ribosomal RNA
Source: RNAcentral
AGCUCCAGUAGCGUAUAUUAAAGUUGUUGCGGUUAAAAAGCUCGUAGUUGGAUCUCAGAGAGGCGUCUCGCGGUCGGCCUUCGCGGUCUGACUGCUUGCGCCUUUCACCGACCGCCGGUCGCGCAUGCCCUUCGCUGAGCGUGCGUCGGCUGCGGCCACGUUUACUUUGAAAAAAUUAGAGUGUUCAAAGCAGGCGUCUUUUCGCCCGCAUACCCCAGCAUGGAAUAAUGGAAUAGGAGGCUGGUUCUAUUUUGUUGGUUUUCGGAAUCUAGCCUAAUGGUUAAGAGGGACGGCCGGGGGCAUUCGUAUUGCGGCGUUAGAGGUGAAAUUCUUAGAUCGCCGCAAGACGAACAAGUGCGAAAGCAUUUGCCAAGAAUGUUUUCAUUAAUCAAGAACGAAA